RNAcentral lists this ribosomal RNA (245 nucleotides) under uncultured bacterium. RNAcentral's name for it is "partial 16S ribosomal RNA". It matches the Rfam family "Bacterial small subunit ribosomal RNA", at positions 1258 to 1500 of the family's 1533-position model. The record is from RNAcentral.
CGAAGGCAAGCGGAUCUCUUAAAGCCGUUCUCAGUUCGGACUGUAGGCUGCAACUCGCCUACACGAAGCUGGAAUCGCUAGUAAUCGCGGAUCAGCACGCCGCGGUGAAUACGUUCCCGGGCCUUGUACACACCGCCCGUCACACCAUGAGAGUCUGUAACACCCAAAGCCGGUGGGACAACCUUUAUAGGAGUCAGCCGUCUAAGGUAGGACAGAUGAUUAGGGUGAAGUCGUAACAAGGUACC